RNAcentral lists this ribosomal RNA (254 nucleotides) under uncultured bacterium. RNAcentral's name for it is "partial 16S ribosomal RNA". It matches the Rfam family "Bacterial small subunit ribosomal RNA", at positions 524 to 776 of the family's 1533-position model. The record is from RNAcentral.
UACGAAGGGGGCUAGCGUUGCUCGGAAUGACUGGGCGUAAAGGGCGCGUAGGCGGUUUGUACAGUCAGGUGUGAAAUUCCCGGGCUCAACCUGGGGGCGGCACUUGAGACGUAGGAACUGGAGUGAGGAAGAGGGUCGUGGAAUUCCCAGUGUAGAGGUGAAAUUCGUAGAUAUUGGGAAGAACCCCGGUGGCGAAGGCGGCGACCUGGGCCCUUUACUGACGCUGAGGCGCGAAAGCGUGGGGAGCAAACAGG